UGACCGGUCUCGAGACCAAGUCCAACUUCGAGUACCACAACACUGAUCUCUCACUCAGUUAACUCAUAUGUUAACUGAUGUUCAGUCUUGCACUGUAAAUAUGAUGAAUAACCUGAAAAUGUCCAAUAACAAGAUGUAGUGCUGUUGUUUCUACACUGGGGGGAUUCUGCUGGCCAUCCUGCUGGUCACACCAUUUCUGGGAAAUGAGUCCGUUUCCCCUCAGCUCUGCCUCUCAGUAAUGAAUAAACAUUUAGGGGAGUGUCUCCCUCACCCAGAAUAAGAGGCUGAAGAGGAAACUUCUGUCUCAACACAACACAGGCACACUUCUGCAAAAACAAGUCUGAGAAGACGAUUGACGUGGCGACUCUUGGCAGGCCAUUUAUCUUGGGAUGCUCUACGACUGCCGCCAAGAUAAAGUCAUUCCUGGACCUGGAUGGUUUUGGUUUCAUUUUUGAGGGGAACUGGGUGGGCCUACGGAUGUGCAUAAAAGCAGAGAAAAUUCAGCAAGUUCUUCCCGCCCUCCCUCACUUUCUGCUGCACUUCAACCUGAGUGUGAGUGAAUACAAACUGCAGAGUUUAACCACUGGACUGAGCAGAGAGAAGCCAACAAAGACGGUCACAAUUUGGGUUAAAACGUUUGACGGCAUCCAUCCUACAUCUAACAGGUUGGAGUGAACAAUGGACAGUGAACCUGGCAAAGUCAUGGAGGUGCCGGCCCUUGGUCGACCUUUUAGCCCUGGGAUGUUGUACGACUGCCGCACUGACUCACUUGUUCCUGGUAAGAAUGAGACAUCCUCAAAGAUCUGAUUAAAACCAGUAGCACACAGAGGCAAAUUGUGUGUUUGAAUGUUGUGAAGCAACAAAUUUGUACUGUGU
Long non-coding RNA from Poecilia latipinna (sailfin molly), 876 nucleotides. RefSeq lists it as uncharacterized. The transcript has 6 exons. The record is from RefSeq and is a predicted model, not a curated record. Lineage: Eukaryota; Metazoa; Chordata; Actinopteri; Cyprinodontiformes; Poeciliidae.